GUGCACCAGUCGAGAAUACUCCACAAUGCGCGAAAGCGCGAUGGGGCUAUCCCGAGUGCCGUCCGCUGAGGAUGGCUUUUCUCCAGUGUAAGGAGCUGGAGGAAUAAGGAGAGGGCAAGUCUGGUGUCAGCCCGCCGCGGUAAUACCAGCUCUCCGAGUGGUAGGGACGUUUAUUGGGCUUAAAAGCGUCCGUAGCCGGCUCAGCAAGUCCUCCGUUAAAUCCAGCGAUUCAAUCGUUGGACCGCGGGGGAUACUGCUGGGCUAGGGGACGGGAGAGGCCGACGGUAUUCCCGGAGUAGGGGUGAAAUCCUAUAAUUCCGGGAGGACCACCAGUGGCGAAGGCUGUCGGCUAGAACGAGCUCGACGGUGAGGGACGAAAGCGU
This 383-nucleotide ribosomal RNA is filed under the name uncultured microorganism. Its description in RNAcentral is "bacterial SSU rRNA". It matches the Rfam family "Archaeal small subunit ribosomal RNA", at positions 330 to 713 of the family's 1478-position model. The record is from RNAcentral.